Molecule: ribosomal RNA, 274 nt
Filed under: uncultured bacterium
Lineage: Bacteria
Description: partial 16S ribosomal RNA
Rfam family: Bacterial small subunit ribosomal RNA
Source: RNAcentral
CUACGGAGGGUGCAAGCGUUACUCGGGAUCACUGGGCGUAAAGCGCGCGCAGGCGGCUUGAUAAGUUGGAUGUGAAAGCCUACGGCUCAACCGUAGAACUGCAUCCAAAACUGUCAAGCUAGAGUCUGGGAGGGGAAGAUGGAAUUAGUUGUGUAGGGGUAAAAUCCGUAGAGAUAACUAGGAAUACCAAAAGCGAAGGCGAUCUUCUGGAACAGUACUGACGCUGAGGCGCGAAAGCGUGGGGAGCAAACAGGAUUAGAAACCCUAGUAGUCC